RNAcentral lists this ribosomal RNA (494 nucleotides) under uncultured bacterium. RNAcentral describes it as "partial 16S ribosomal RNA". It matches the Rfam family "Bacterial small subunit ribosomal RNA", at positions 28 to 507 of the family's 1533-position model. The record is from RNAcentral.
GACGAACGCUGGCGGCGUGCUUAACACAUGCAAGUCGAAUGGAAAGGCCUGCUUUCCCUUGUGGAUUGCGGGUACUCGAGUGGCGAACGGGUGAGUAACACGUGAGUGAUCUGCCCCCAACUUGGGUAUAAGCCUGGGAAACUGGGUCUAAUUCCCGAUAGGACUGCAGGGUGGUGCCUGUGGUGGAAAACGAUUUUCUAGUGGUUGGGGAUGAGCUCGCGGCCUAUCAGCUUGUUGGUGGGGUAAUGGCCUACCAAGGCGGCGACGGGUAGCCGGCCUGAGAGGGUGGACGGCCACAGUGGGACUGAGAUACGGCCCAGACUCCUACGGGAGGCAGCAGUGGGGAAUAUUGCACAAUGGGCGGAAGCCUGAUGCAGCGACGCCGCGUGGGGGAUGACGGCCUUCGGGUUGUAAACUCCUUUCGACCGCGAGGAAGCCACCUGGUUGGAAGGGUGGUGACGGUAGUGGUAGAAGAAGCACCGGCUAACUACGUG